RNAcentral lists this ribosomal RNA (459 nucleotides) under uncultured bacterium. RNAcentral's name for it is "partial 16S ribosomal RNA". It matches the Rfam family "Bacterial small subunit ribosomal RNA", at positions 338 to 795 of the family's 1533-position model. The record is from RNAcentral.
CCUACGGGAGGCAGCAGUGAGGAAUAUUGGUCAAUGGGCUUACGCCUGAACCAGCCAAGUCGCGUGAGGGAAGACUGCCCUAUGGGUUGUAAACCUCUUUUGUCAGGGAGCAACGUCGGCUACGUGUAGCCGGACUGAGAGUACCUGAAGACAAGCAUCGGCUAACUCCGUGCCAGCAGCCGCGGUAAUACGGAGGAUGCGAGCGUUAUCCGGAUUUAUUGGGUUUAAAGGGUGCGUAGGCGGAAUGCCAAGUCAGCGGUAAAAUCGCGGGGCUCAACCUCGCUCCGCCGUUGACACUGGCGGUCUGGAGUGGGCGAGGAGUAGGCGGAAUGCGUGGUGUAGCGGUGAAAUGCAUAGAUAUCACGCAGAACACCGAUUGCGAAGGCAGCAUACCGGCGCCCAACUGACGCUGAGGCACGAAAGCGUGGGUAUCGAACAGGAUUAGAUACCCGAGUAGUC